GGAAAGACUGUUCAGUCAUGAAGUUUCAGUUCCUGCUCGCGUUGUUAUUUACUCUACUAAAGUUAUCCAGCUUGAAUCCAACUCCUACAAGUCGAAAACCUGAUUUGAGCGUGAUAAUUCACUUUCAUACCGGGGACUCCGCCGAGCUAGGUGAUACAAAGGAGGCCUAGAAUGGAUGCUGUUGGACCUGAAUCUUGAAGCUUUUAACAAUUGGAAAUAAUUGAAAAAUAAAUAUUUUUGUGUUCAAAGUUCUAGAACUAAAUUAUUUCAGAUAGGA
Eurytemora carolleeae is the source of this 277-nucleotide long non-coding RNA. RefSeq lists it as uncharacterized. The transcript is spliced from 3 exons. The record is from RefSeq and is a predicted model, not a curated record. Lineage: Eukaryota; Metazoa; Arthropoda; Copepoda; Calanoida; Temoridae.